GGAAGUGUAGCUCAGUGGUAAAGCACUUGCCUAGCAUACUCAAGUGCCUGUAGUUCAUCCCUAGCAUGAAGAAGAAGGAAAAGUCUUUCCAUUUCCU
This 97-nucleotide transfer RNA is filed under the name Dipodomys ordii (Ord's kangaroo rat). It matches the Rfam family "tRNA". Rfam says of the family: Transfer RNA (tRNA) molecules are approximately 80 nucleotides in length. The record is from Rfam by way of RNAcentral. Lineage: Eukaryota; Metazoa; Chordata; Mammalia; Rodentia; Heteromyidae.